UAACUGCGCCGGAGGCACGACCCGGCCAAUUAAGGCCAGGAGCGCAUCGCCGGCAGAAGGGACGAGCCAACCGGUGCACACCAGAGGCGGACCGAUCGACCCAACCCAAGCCGUUUCUCAGGCUCCCUCUCCGGAAUCGAACCCUAAUUCUCCGUCACCCGUCACCACCAUGGUAGGCCACUAUCCUACCAUCGAAAGUUGA
Vicia faba (fava bean) is the source of this 202-nucleotide non-coding RNA. The record is from the annotation of a GenBank genome assembly. Lineage: Eukaryota; Viridiplantae; Streptophyta; Magnoliopsida; Fabales; Fabaceae.